AUUAAACGCUGGCGGCAUGCCUUACACAUGCAAGUCGAACGGCAGCACGGGGGCAACCUUGGUGGCGAGUGGCGAACGGGUGAGUAAAGCAUCGGAACGUGCCCUGGAGUGGGGGGAUAACGUAGCGAAAGUUACGCUAAUACCGCAUAUUCUGUGAGCAGGAAAGCAGGGGAUCGCAAGACCUUGCGCUCUGAGAGCGGCCGAUGUCGGAUUAGCUAGUUGGUGGGGUAAAGGCCUACCAAGGCGACGAUCCGUAGCGGGUCUGAGAGGAUGAUCCGCCACACUGGGACUGAGACACGGCCCAGACUCCUACGGGAGGCAGCAGUGGGGAAUUUUGGACAAUGGGCGAAAGCCUGAUCCAGCCAUGCCGCGUGAGUGAAGAAGGCCUCGG
This 391-nucleotide ribosomal RNA is filed under the name uncultured bacterium. RNAcentral's name for it is "bacterial SSU rRNA". It matches the Rfam family "Bacterial small subunit ribosomal RNA", at positions 29 to 420 of the family's 1533-position model. The record is from RNAcentral.